GAGAGGAGCCCAUGUAGGGAACGGGGCUGUCACUCCUGGGCUGUGGGGGGUUUGGGUGCCGUCGGGAAGGAGUUUGGUCCCGGCUGGUGUAGGGGGUGCCCCUGGGGAGCAGAGAUGGGGGAACCAUCCAGCAUUCCUCUGUGCCCCCCAACAUCUCCCCCAGACCAGCAGCUGCUGGGGCAGCCCAGCUCUGAGCAGGAGUGGAGGAGCUCAGGUUGAUGCUUCCCGGCUGCUGAGACGCCAGAGCGCAGACACACAUCCCGCUGGGGACACCUCUCCUGGUGGGAACACCGCCCCAGACACCCCCACACUGCGGAGCCCACCGAGGCAGCAGCUCAGGGCAUCUCAGGGAUGGAUCUUUCUGCUUCUGCUGCUUUGCUGCGAAAAAUCCCCCCAAGGAAGCUGUUUCUGAUGCCCAGACCUCCUGCAUUCGCAGGACGAGGUGCUCUGGUCCUGCUGGGAGCACAGUUUGGUGCAGCGUGGCCCCCCCAGCACCCCUGCACAGCACAGGGACGUGGGUGGGGAGAUCUCGCAGAUGCAGUUGCCAUGGAAAAAUAAAGCCCCUCAUCAAGAUUCAGAGGAAGCUAAUGAAAUAAUUAGCAAGUAACAAAAAUGAAAGAGAAGGAUCGUUGUGGUGCUUCUGCCCAAGGUGGGCAAUGGUGGAGGGGAAUUGACCCUGAAAGUGAAGCAAUGGAAAAAGCGGGGAAAUAAAUCCCACCAAAAUCUGCCCUGGACCACAUUCCUCCUGGGACUGGGAUUUUCUGAAUCUUCUUUUGUUUUCUGCCUGGGAGGGUCUGUGCAGCUGAAAGCUGGGGGGACGCUGGGAGAAACCCCCAGUUGCAUUCAUCUAAGAUGUCUGGACACUGUCACAGAAGGACCAGUUUUUAAGAAUCAUGAACAUCCUGAUGGCAAAAGGCACCAACGGGAACCCUUGCUCAACUGCUCUGAGGGCUCAGUACUGGCCUCGAACUGGAUGGACCAGCUCCUCCGUUAGCUGAAGGCUAUGAAAUGAAAUACAGCAUCAGACACAUCCCUGCACCAAUUUGUGCAGGCUUGCAAUGUGUGCCUUCCAUCUCCUCCAGACACCAUUUGGCAGAUCUGUGCUGUGAAUGUCACAGCAGUCUUGCAUAAGAACUUCUCCCACCAUCCCGACGAGCGCGAUGAGACGGGUGUACCAUCUGCUGGGAGCUGCCAUGUGCCGAGCCGCGUCCCUCCCUCGCUGGAGGAACCCCCAAACCCUUCCCUGGGCUCCCUCAGCCUGUCUCGGGGUGUAACACUUCUGCCCCUGAGCAGUCUUUGCUCAGAGGGGGACAAGCAGCUCCUUUUUAUUUCCCCCCUGCAGAUGCCCCUCAUGUCUGCAGUGAUGGCUCCGUGGGUGACAAGGUGAUCAGGUCCAUGGCUUAAAGCACCUUCUUGCGUGUGCCUUUAGCAUUCAGCCCUAACAUCACCUUCCAGGGUAAAACAUCAAUAGGAUCAUCUCCGUCUACAAGGCUCCUUCCCUGAAACAAGUAAGCAGCAGCACUCCAAGCCAUCAUGGAUAAGAGAUGCUGUAAUCUGGUUUUCUCAGGCAAGAGCAUGUCAUUCACUAGGGGAAAAAGAUUUGAUCAACUUUGCUGAGACGGGCACAGAGCAAGAAGCAUCCGCAAAAGGGGAGUUGCAAACCUGGCAGCACCAGGGAGAAGGUGGCUGGGUUGGACAAGGCAGCCAGGUUUCCAAAUUUCCAGCUGAUUAAAUAAGUGUUCCUCAAAGAAAGCACUGAAACAAGAGAGCGGCUCCUUGCAGGAGCAUCACUUAGCAUCACUGCUCCUUGCAGGAGCAUCACUGGGUGUCACCGGGCAUCACCGGGGCAGCAUCCUUUCGCUCGGGCUGUACAAAGCAACAGCAGCAAGGUGAUUUAUACCUGUGUUUGCACUGGGGGUGGGAGGAAUCCAAGCCAGAAAGGCAAUUAGCGCAAGAGAGAAAAAUCUCAGGGCAGUUUAAUACAAUUUGGUUGAUGAUGUUGCGCUCAGCACGAGCUGGGAAAGGCCAGCGCAGCCUUGCCCUUGAGGAGCACACACUUUCAGCAGCUUGGAUAAUAAGAACAAGUGUUUUCUGAGGGAAAAGUGAAAUGCUUUUUUUUCUUGUGAAGCACUCACUUUCUCUAAGCUGCCUGCAACAUUUUUCCUAAUUAAAAUAGAUCUAUAAUAUCA
Long non-coding RNA from Columba livia (rock pigeon), 2189 nucleotides. RefSeq lists it as uncharacterized. The transcript is spliced from 2 exons. The record is from RefSeq and is a predicted model, not a curated record. Lineage: Eukaryota; Metazoa; Chordata; Aves; Columbiformes; Columbidae.